CGUAUGGUGUGCGGAGAGAGUCCGUAUAGCGAUGCGGCCCAAUUGAGGU
This 49-nucleotide non-coding RNA is filed under the name unclassified sequences. Its description in RNAcentral is "L31-Gammaproteobacteria ribosomal protein leader". It matches the Rfam family "L31-Gammaproteobacteria ribosomal protein leader". The record is from RNAcentral.